Molecule: ribosomal RNA, 253 nt
Filed under: uncultured bacterium
Lineage: Bacteria
Description: partial 16S ribosomal RNA
Rfam family: Bacterial small subunit ribosomal RNA
Source: RNAcentral
UACGAAGGGGGCUAGCGUUGCUCGGAAUCACUGGGCGUAAAGGGUGCGUAGGCGGGUCUUUAAGUCAGGGGUGAAAUCCUGGAGCUCAACUCCAGAACUGCCUUUGAUACUGAGGAUCUUGAGUUCGGGAGAGGUGAGUGGAACUGCGAGUGUAGAGGUGAAAUUCGUAGAUAUUCGCGAGAACACCAGUGGCGAAGGCGGCUCACUGGCCCGAUACUGACGCUGAGGCACGAAAGCGUGGGGAGCAAACAGG